AGGGCGCACGGUGGAUGCCUUGGCACUAGGAGCCGAUGAAGGACGGGACGAACACCGAUAUGCUUCGGGGAGCUGUAAGCAAGCUUUGAUCCGGAGAUUUCCGAAUGGGGAAACCCACCACUCGUAAUGGAGUGGUAUCCAUAUCUGAAUACAUAGGAUAUGAGAAGGCAGACCCGGGGAACUGAAACAUCUAAGUACCCGGAGGAAGAGAAAGCAAAUGCGAUUCCCUGAGUAGCGGCGAGCGAAACGGGACCAGCCCAAACCAAGAGGCUUGCCUCUUGGGGUUGUAGGACACUCUGUACGGAGUUACAAAGGAACGAGGUAGAUGAAGAGGUCUGGAAAGGCCCGCCAUAGGAGGUAACAGCCCUGUAGUCAAAACUUCGUUCUCUCCUGAGUGGAUCCUGAGUACGGCGGAACACGUGAAAUUCCGUCGGAAUCCGGGAGGACCAUCUCCCAAGGCUAAAUACUCCCUAGUGACCGAUAGUGAACCAGUACCGUGAGGGAAAGGUGAAAAGCACCCCGGAAGGGGAGUGAAAGAGAUCCUGAAACCGUGUGCCUACAAGUAGUCAGAGCCCGUUAACGGGUGAUGGCGUGCCUUUUGUAGAAUGAACCGGCGAGUUACGAUCCCGUGCAAGGUUAAGCAGAAGAUGCGGAGCCGCAGCGAAAGCGAGUCUGAAUAGGGCGAAUUGAGUACGUGGUCGUAGACCCGAAACCAGGUGAUCUACCCAUGUCCAGGGUGAAGUUCAGGUAACACUGAAUGGAGGCCCGAACCCACGCACGUUGAAAAGUGCGGGGAUGAGGUGUGGGUAGGGGUGAAAUGCCAAUCGAACCUGGAGAUAGCUGGUUCUCUCCGAAAUAGCUUUAGGGCUAGCCUCAAGGUAAGAGUCUCGGAGGUAGAGCACUGAUUGGACUAGGGGCCCCUACCGGGUUACCGAAUUCAGUCAAACUCCGAAUGCCGAUGACUUAUCCUUGGGAGUCAGACUGCGAGUGAUAAGAUCCGUAGUCGAAAGGGAAACAGCCCAGACCGCCAGCUAAGGUCCCAAAGUAUACGUUAAGUGGAAAAGGAUGUGGAGUUGCUUAGACAACCAGGAUGUUGGCUUAGAAGCAGCCACCAUUUAAAGAGUGCGUAAUAGCUCACUGGUCGAGUGACUCUGCGCCGAAAAUGUACCGGGGCUAAACGUAUCACCGAAGCUGCGGACUGUUCUUCGAACAGUGGUAGGAGAGCGUUCUAAGGGCUGUGAAGCAAGACCGGAAGGACUUGUGGAGCGCUUAGAAGUGAGAAUGCCGGUAUGAGUAGCGAAAGAGGGGUGAGAAUCCCCUCCACCGAAUGCCUAAGGUUUCCUGAGGAAGGCUCGUCCGCUCAGGGUUAGUCGGGACCUAAGCCGAGGCCGAAAGGCGUAGGCGAUGGAUAACAGGUUGAUAUUCCUGUACCACCUCCUCACCAUUUGAGCAAUGGGGGGACGCAGGAGGAUAGGGUAAGCGCGGUAUUGGAUAUCCGCGUCCAAGCAGUUAGGCUGGGAAAUAGGCAAAUCCGUUUCCCGUGAAGGCUGAGCUGUGAUGGCGAGCGAAUUAUAGUAGCGAAGUUCCUGAUUCCACACUGCCAAGAAAAGCCUCUAGCGAGGUGAGAGGUGCCCGUACCGCAAACCGACACAGGUAGGCGAGGAGAGAAUCCUAAGGUGAUCGAGAGAACUCUCGUUAAGGAACUCGGCAAAAUGACCCCGUAACUUCGGGAGAAGGGGUGCUCUGUUAGGGUGCAAGCCCGAGAGAGCCGCAGUGAAUAGGCCCAGGCGACUGUUUAGCAAAAACACAGGUCUCUGCGAAGCCGUAAGGCGAAGUAUAGGGGCUGACGCCUGCCCGGUGCUGGAAGGUUAAGAGGAGCGCUUAGCGUAAGCGAAGGUGCGAAUUGAAGCCCCAGUAAACGGCGGCCGUAACUAUAACGGUCCUAAGGUAGCGAAAUUCCUUGUCGGGUAAGUUCCGACCCGCACGAAAGGCGCAACGAUCUGGGCACUGUCUCAACGAGAGACUCGGUGAAAUUAUAGUACCUGUGAAGAUGCAGGUUACCCGCGACAGGACGGAAAGACCCCGUGGAGCUUUACUGCAGCCUGAUAUUGAAUGUUGGUACAGCUUGUACAGGAUAGGUAGGAGCCUUGGAAACCGGAGCGCCAGCUUCGGUGGAGGCAUCGGUGGGAUACUACCCUGGCUGUAUUGACCUUCUAACCCGCCGCCCUUAUCGGGCGGGGAGACAGUGUCAGGUGGGCAGUUUGACUGGGGCGGUCGCCUCCUAAAAGGUAACGGAGGCGCCCAAAGGUUCCCUCAGAAUGGUUGGAAAUCAUUCGCAGAGUGUAAAGGCACAAGGGAGCUUGACUGCGAGACCUACAAGUCGAGCAGGGACGAAAGUCGGGCUUAGUGAUCCGGUGGUUCCGCAUGGAAGGGCCAUCGCUCAACGGAUAAAAGCUACCCCGGGGAUAACAGGCUUAUCUCCCCCAAGAGUCCACAUCGACGGGAGGUUUGGCACCUCGAUGUCGGCUCAUCGCAUCCUGGGGCUGUAGUCGGUCCCAAGGGUUGGGCUGUUCGCCCAUUAAAGCGGUACGCGAGCUGGGUUCAGAACGUCGUGAGACAGUUCGGUCCCUAUCCGUCGCGGGCGCAGGAAAUUUGAGAGGAGCUGUCCUUAGUACGAGAGGACCGGGAUGGACGCACCGCUGGUGUACCAGUUGUUCUGCCAAGGGCAUCGCUGGGUAGCUAUGUGCGGACGGGAUAAGUGCUGAAAGCAUCUAAGCAUGAAGCCCCCCUCAAGAUGAGAUUUCCCAUUCCGCAAGGAAGUAAGAUCCCUGAAAGAUGAUCAGGUUGA
RNAcentral lists this ribosomal RNA (2848 nucleotides) under Bacillus velezensis. RNAcentral's name for it is "bacterial LSU rRNA". It matches the Rfam family "Bacterial large subunit ribosomal RNA". Lineage: Bacteria; Bacillati; Bacillota; Bacilli; Caryophanales; Bacillaceae. The record is from RNAcentral.